AUGCAGUCGAGCGGCAGCACAGAGGAACUUGUUCCUUGGGUGGCGAGCGGCGGACGGGUGAGUAAUGCCUGGGAAAUUGCCCUGAUGUGGGGGAUAACCAUUGGAAACGAUGGCUAAUACCGCAUGAUGCCUACGGGCCAAAGAGGGGGACCUUCGGGCCUCUCGCGUCAGGAUAUGCCCAGGUGGGAUUAGCUAGUUGGUGAGGUAAUGGCUCACCAAGGCGACGAUCCCUAGCUGGUCUGAGAGGAUGAUCAGCCACACUGGAACUGAGACACGGUCCAGACUCCUACGGGAGGCAGCAGUGGGGAAUAUUGCACAAUGGGCGCAAGCCUGAUGCAGCCAUGCCGCGUGUAUGAAGAAGGCCUUCGGGUUGUAAAGUACUUUCAGUCGUGAGGAAGGUUGUAGUGUGAAUAGCACUAUGAUUUGACGUUAGCGACAGAAGAAGCACCGGCUAACUCCGUGCCAGCAGCCGCGGUAAUACGGAGGGUGCGAGCGUUAAUCGGAAUUACUGGGCGUAAAGCGCAUGCAGGUGGUUUGUUAAGUCAGAUGUGAAAGCCCUGGGCUCAACCUAGGAGUUGCAUUUGAAACUGACAAGCUAGAGUACUGUAGAGGGGGGUAGAAUUUCAGGUGUAGCGGUGAAAUGCGUAGAGAUCUGAAGGAAUACCGGUGGCGAAGGCGGCCCCCUGGACAGAUACUGACACUCAGAUGCGAAAGCGUG
RNAcentral lists this ribosomal RNA (718 nucleotides) under Vibrio anguillarum. Its description in RNAcentral is "bacterial SSU rRNA". It matches the Rfam family "Bacterial small subunit ribosomal RNA", at positions 55 to 763 of the family's 1533-position model. Lineage: Bacteria; Pseudomonadati; Pseudomonadota; Gammaproteobacteria; Vibrionales; Vibrionaceae. The record is from RNAcentral.